This 6519-nucleotide long non-coding RNA is filed under the name Trifolium pratense (red clover). RNAcentral's name for it is "long non-coding RNA (TPRA_LNC001480)". Lineage: Eukaryota; Viridiplantae; Streptophyta; Magnoliopsida; Fabales; Fabaceae. The record is from RNAcentral.
AAGGUUAGAAACUAAACUACUACAAAAAUUGGUCAUAUAUCUAUGUCAGUCUUGUAUGAGAGGGUUAGCAGUUAUCUAAUUCAAGCUAGAAGUGAUUUCUACGAAAACAUCUUCACUGCAAGGAAUAGUUAUACCACCCAUUGGAUGGUCAUAUCCGAAUUGUUCCUCAGAUUGGCUUAAUAAGUCUUGGAAUGAGAUUUGGUUCAAGUAUGAUACAGGAAUCACAAACCUCUUCAUUUCCUCUCCUACAUACACAGCUAGAUAUCCCUUUGGAACACCUUUUGAAGAUGAUGACUUUGAUCUGAUGAUACUAGGUAAACGAAAACCCAUUGUUGUAUGUGUUGAAAAGAUGAGAUUGAUCUAAAAAACAAUGAUUGUAUAUAGAAGACUAGAGUUUUUGAACUUCAAAUGUGUUGGGAUGUGAAUGAUUUGUGUUGAUCCUAUGCCUGCAGUCUGCAGACAUGAAUAUAUAUAUAUAUAGAUGAAAGGAUAUGUAACAAACAGUCGGCAAGUUGAAGGAGGAUCAUGAGAUGGAUCUAUGCAAGCUAUGGGAAACAAGUGCAUGUGAAAGAUCACAUGGUGUUGUUUUGGAGGACUCGUUCAAGUUUCAACGUCAAAUUAAUUUCAUGGUAGAUAAUGUCUCCCCUUGAACAAAGGCAAGUGUCUAUGAUCCAUUACCAUACAGUUCGAUAGUACCAGCUGGAAAUCAACACUAUCAUCAUAAUGAAGAAAACAUGUCUAAAGCAUGUUUUCACAAUUAUGAAAUGCUAGUUAAUGCAUAAACAAAUAUGAGGUUGCCCUUGAAAGGGUGGGGUACAAUCUUAAGACAUCACCACAUGCUAUUUCCAACAAUAAUUUAGCUUGGAAUUGCAAUUCCAGAGAACCUAAAUAACUAUAAAUAUACUUACAAAUUGCCUUCAAACACACCAUAAGUCAUUUGCAUCCUCAAGUGUUAGUUACAUACUUCUAAAUUUUUUGAUAUCUUUGCUUUGUUGUGUCUUUUCUUCUCCUUUAAACAAUCAACAAAAAUGGGUUUCCGAUUAAAUGUUAUUCGACGGGCAUCAUUAACUGCCAACCAAGCAACAUCAAAAUCUGCAGAAGUGAGAAAGGGCUAUGUUGCAGUGUAUGUUGGAGAGAAACAGAAGCGGUUUGUGAUCCCCGUAUCAUACUUGAACCAACCAUUGUUUCAAGAGUUGUUGAGUCAAGCUGAGGAAGAGUUUGGUUACGAUCAUCCCAUGGGUGGCCUCACCAUUCCUUGCAACGAAGAUGUGUUUCAACAUGUAACUUCUCGCAUGAAUGAGCUAUGAAACUGUAGCAUACUGAUAGAUUAGUAGAGACAUUUUGUACAAUAGGAAUAUUUUUAACUUGUAAAGAUUAACCCCUUUCAUGGGAAAUAGAGAAAAAUAUUAAUCUGAAUACAAAGAAAACAAAACACUUUCAUAUCUUUUUCUUGUUUAAUGACAAUGAGUUCACUUACUUUAUCAAUUUCAUUAUUCUCUCUGCAAUUUUAAACAUGAUGAAAAAAUAGCAAGCUGCUUGCUGAAGGGAAAAAGAAUCGUCAUGAUUAUCUUCAUAAAUUUAACAGUAGAAAUGGAUAUUAACAGUCACUGCAAAGUUAAAAUUAUUUUUCAGAACAAAUGAAAAGAAUCUAGCAUAAGUUUAUUUUGGACGGAACGGAUUGUAAAGAAAUAACACCAAACACAACUAUAGUUAUUUCUUUCAGCCUGUUUCGGAAACAAGAUUUGUUACUUUUAUUUCUCUAAAUACUAUGUUACAGACCAAGAUUAUACUUUUUAUCUCAACUUCAAUGUAUUAAUAUAUACAUUUUUUGGCUGAAGAUUUAUAUAUAUACAUCUUUGUAUCUUGACUUCUGACAUUAGGAGAUAUUUUUUUUUUUAUAUAUAUCUAAACUUACUUUGAAUUCUCCACUGUGACAUAGUUUGUAACAAGGUAAGUCCCUCCAACACAAUAGUUUAAGGGAAAGACCUGCCUAUGUACCAAACAUAGUUUGAUACUUAAGAAUCUCAGCAUAAGUUUUAAAUUUAAUUAUGGAAGAAUAGAGUCAUCUUCCUAAAAUAUAUUAACUUACAUGUUGCAUCAAAAUGUUCUCCAUCUGAUGUAGACUCUUUCUAUAAGGAGUUACUUACUGUUAUCAUUGCUUCGCUGCAACCAUUGAAUUUGGCAUUGGAGCAUCCUCAGACUUCUUCUUGUUGAGGUUAUAUGGUCUGCCCUCAUCACCCUUUCCUUGCGCUUCUCCAAAAAUCGAGUCAAUGAUGCUUUGUGGGCCUGAGGUAUAGCUGACUACUUUUGGAGUCUCCACUUUGCUAGCAGAAGUCGUAGGAGUAGGACCUCUAAAUGUUUUAGCAGUUAGAAAUUCAUCACUGCUACUUGAGCCACUCCCUGACUGUGGACUGGUGUGUGAAGAAACAGAUAAAGGACUAGAAAUACCAGACAAGGGUGGUAUAUUUACAGGUGGACUCAUAGGCACACCAUUAUCACCAGAUGCAAACUUUGAACUAGGUGCCUGAAAUUCAUGUUGAAGCAUGUUUGAAGCUGAAGAUAUGCCAUUUCCAGCCAACAACAUGAUGGUUUGUGCCUUCUCAGAAGCGAUAUCAUUGAAGAUGUUCACAGUACCAGCAUAGAAAAUGGUAAGUUGAGAAACUGAUGCAGAUGGUUUCACACAUGGUUCAGUCAAACCAGCAACAUUAUCAACGAUUGGAAGAACUGAAUGAGGUUUUGUAACAGGUAAUCCCCCAAGUAGUGGUUGCUUCACAUUAGCACCAUUCAUAUUCUGACCAAAAGCUGCAAACUGAUUCUUUAGGACGGUUGUCCUGCAGAAACUGAAAUUGCUUGAUUGGAAACUGAAAACAUCUUCACAUCAUGGGGACGAUUCACAUAUUUCACAUCAUGAUACGGAUUUGCGGAAAAAUGAAAGCUUCCUUGUCCAUCAUGUUUGAAAAUUUCUCUAUGAAACCAGAAGAUGUUAUUUUUGCCAUGAAUAUCGAGGUCUAACUCAUCCUUACAAAACCGGCUUGUAAGGUGAGGAUUGUCUCCUCUUUAUAAACUUUUCUCAACUCACAAGCUAAAUAAUUAUUUCAAAUCCUAUUAUAUACACUUCUAAGUAAUUAUUUAUAUCUACCUUCUUAUCCAAUAAUUACGUUCUACUUGAAAGGGAAAAAACAACGAAAUACAUACUCAUUUAUGAUAAGUAAAUCAUGAAAGUUCCUUUUAACUUUCAUUUUUUGCAACAGGGGCAAUCAAAUUUUAUAUUUGAAAUAAAUUUACUUCCCAUUUUAUCAUUUAAGAGAUUCUAAGCUGAACAUUUAGCAAAUAGAUGCUUCAACUUUCAGACUGAUAUUUAAGAGGAGUAAAUAGAGAAAUAUGAUAAUAGUGUUAAUAAAUUUCUCAUUCAGAUGAACUUUUUACAUCCAAGUAUGAUAACAACAAAACAGAAAAUCUUUUGAAAGUCAGAAACUAAACUACAAAAAUUGGUCAUAUAUCUAUGUCAGUCUAGUGAUAUCCUCUGAGGGAUACCAGGUAUUCAAUUCAAUUGAGAAGUAAUAUCUAAGAAAACGUCUUCUCUACAAGGAAUUGUGAGACCACCCAUUGGAUGGUCAUAUCCAUAUUGCUCCUCGGUUUGGCUCAACAAUUCUUGAAAUGAGGUUUGGCUCAAGUAUGAUACAGGGAUCACAAACCGCUUCAUUUUAUCUCCUACAUAUACUGCUAGAUAUCCCUUUGGCACAUCCACACCUUUUGAUGAUGAUGACCUUCUGAUAAUACUUGGUAAACGAAAACCCAUUGUUGUAAGUAAGUCUUGAAAAGAAGGUAUUGGUCUAAACUAAGAAGGUAUUGGAUGUGAAUGAUUUGUGUUGGUCCUAAAUGCUUGCAGCGAUGAAUAUAUAUAGAUGAAUCAAAGGAUACUUAACAAACCGUCGGCAACUAUAAUGAUCGCUGAAGGAGGGCCAUGUGAUAUGAGUCAUGUUCAGACAAGAGCAUACGAAAGAUCACAUGGUGUUGUCUUCAGAGUUUAAAGGACUUUCGCAAUGAUCAACAUCAAAUAUUUUGUUGAAAGGAUAAUGCAAGUCCCACAUCCUUGAAAGGAUAACCACAAACAUGUAGAAUGAUGAACUAUACUUAUCCAUUUCCUUGUAUAGUUUACCAGCUGGAAAUCAACACUAUCAUCAUAAUGAAGAAAACAUGUAUAAAGCAUGUUUACAGAAUUAUGAAGUACUAGUUAAUGCAUGAAGAAAUAUGAGGAUGCACUUGAAAUGUGGGGUACAGGCUAAAGACAUAGCCACAUGCUAUAUUAUCAUACCCUUUAACUCUUUCAAACAAUAAUUUAGCUUGCAAUUGGAAUUCCAGAGAACUUAAAUAACUAUAAAUAUACUUACAAAUUGCCUUCAAACACACCACAAGUCAUUGGCAUCCUCAAGUGUUAGUUACAUCCUUCUAAAGUUUUUGAUAUAUUUGAUCUGUUGAGUCUUUUCUUCUCCUUCAAACAAUCACCAAAAAUGGGUUUCCGUUUAAAUGUUAUUCGACGGGCAUCAUUAACUGCCAACCAAACAGCAUCAAAAUCUGCAGAAGUGAGAAAGGGCUAUGUUGCAGUGUAUGUUGGAGAGAAACAGAAGCGGUUUGUGAUCCCAAUAUCAUAUUUUAACCGACCAUCAUUUCAAAACUUAUUGAGUCAAGCUGAAGAAGAGUUUGGAUAUGAUCAUCCCAUGGGUGGCCUCACCAUUCCUUGUCCUGAAGAUGUCUUUCAACACAUAACUUCUCACUUGAAUGGGCUAUGAAAUUGACAUAAUAGCAUGCUAACAUAGAUUAAUUAGUAGAGAUAUUUUGUAUAACAGGAAUCUUUUUAACUUGUAAAGAUUAUCCCUUUUCUUGGGAAACAGAGAAAAAUCAUUAUUUCAUUACAACAUGAUUCAUAUUUCUUCUUGCGUAAUCAUAGUGGGCUCAGUUGCUUUAUUAAUUACGAUUUUCAGUACUCUCUACAAUUUGAAGUAAACUCAUAAAUUUCAUCGCAGAAAUGAUCUUAACAGACAAUUCAACUGCAGAACUAAAAUUACUUUUCAGAACCAAAGAAAAGUAUCAAGCAUAUGUUUAUUUGGGACAACAGUUAAAGAACUUUGAGCAUUUUGAAAUUAUACAAUCUGUUACUCCUAUUUAUCUAGAUACUAAUUAACAAAAUUACUUUCGUUGUUAAAAAUAUAACUAAACCUUUCUCUGUAACAAAAUCAGCUUUGCUAUCUCAAACUAAACCUUUACCCAUCAGAACGCUCUAAUUUUCUACUUUAGAGAAAAUUUUGGAGUGCUUUGGUUUAGUUAACAGGGAAACGAACUACCACCAAGUUAGCAUGGAAAAACAAUGAAAAGGAAUUUGAAUGGAAGAUCAAUGAAGAGGAAUAUGAGCAAAGAAUUGGAUAACACAAAAUCUUAAGAAAUAUUCACUUAGAUACGCUAGAUUGAGCAAGAUAAUGUACUAUGUCUCAUCACAAGUUAUGAAGAUGUGAAAUUCAAAUAACACACUUGUUUUUAUGCAACUUUGAUACUUCAUUUGAAGCCUAUUUGGAGAUACACAUGGAUUAGAUGGCCUAGGCACUUAUAACAUUUUUAUGCAUUAGCAAAGUAAAAUGUUUACAUAGACAAUUCUUUUCAAGAGAGGUGAAUUUUUCAUUUUAUCAUCUAGAGAUUCCAAACUAAACACAUUUAGCUUAUUGGAGAAUUUGAUUGUCAAAUAAAUUAUAGAGGGAAAAUUUUAAAGAAAUAAGGCAAUGUUUAUAAAUUUCCUCAUCCAGAUGAACUUGUUUACAAACAAGUUUAAUAGCAACAAAAGAAAAUAUUUCCACAAUACAAAAUUUGUCAACUAUCUACGUCAGUGUAAUCUAAGUUAUCUUCAUAAGGAGUUAGUGCCUAUUCAAGUGAGAAGUGAUAUCUAAGAAAAGAUCUUCUCCACAAGGAAUAGUAAGACCACCCAUUGGAUGGUCAUAUCCAAAUUGUUCCUCAGCUUGGCUCAGCAAAUCUUGGAAUGAUGUUUGUUUCAAAUAUGAUAUUGGAAUCACAAACCGCUUCAUUUUCUCUCCUACAUACACUGCAAGGUAUCCCUUUGGUACAUCCAUAUCUUUUGAAGAUGUUGCCCUUCUAAUACCAGGUAAACGAAAACCCAUUUUUGUAUGUGUUGAACAAGAAAAGACUUGUCUAUAGAAGACUUAAGUUUCUGAAUUUCAAAUGCUUUGGGAUGUGUAUGAAUUGUGGUGGUUCUAAAUGCAUGCAGCCAUGAACUUAUAUAGAUGAUGAAAAGAUGUGUAACUAACCGUCGAGAACUUGAAUGAUCAAUGAAGGAGGACCAUAAGUUAUGAGUCAUGGCCAGACAAGAGCAUGUGAAAGACCACAUGGUGUUGUCUUAGAGGACUUUCUCAAGCUUCAAUGUCUAUACAUUUUAGUAGAUGAUGCAGGCUCCACCUCCUUGAGCAAAGGCCAGCAAAGCAUAUUAAUCUACACAGAUAAUAACAAACAUGUAGA